AUAAGCGGAGGAAAAGAAACUAACAAGGAUUCCCCUAGUAACUGCGAGUGAAGAGGGAAAAGCUCAAAUUUAAAAUCUGGUAGUCUAUGGCUGCCCGAGUUGUAAUCUAGAGAAGCAUUAUCCGCGCCGGACCAUGUACAAGUUUUCCUGGAAUGGAGCGUCAUAGAGGGUGAGAAUCCCGUCUUUGACAUGGGCUACCGGGGCUUUGUGAUGUGCUCUCCAAGAGUCGAGUUGUUUGGGAAUGCAGCUCUAAAUGGGUGGUAAAUUCCAUCUAAAGCUAAAUAUUGGCGAGAGACCGAUAGCGAACAAGUACCGUGAGGGAAAGAUGAAAAGAACUUUGGAAAGAGAGUUAAACAGUACGUGAAAUUGUUGAAAGGGAAACGCUUGAAGUCAGUCGCGUCUGCCAGGAAUCAACCUUGUAAUUUUGCUGGGUGUACUUUCUGGUUGACGGGUCAGCAUCAAUUUUGAUCAGUGGAAAAAGUUCAGAGGAAUGUGGCACCUUCGGGUGUGUUAUAGCCUUUGUUCGUAUACAUUGAUUGGGAUUGAGGAACUCAGCAUGCCGCAAGGCCGGGUCUUUUGACUACGUUCAUGCUUAGGAUGCUGGCAUAAUGGCUUUAAUCGACCCGUCUUGAAACACGGACCAAGGAGUCUAACAUGCCCGCGAGUGUUUGGGUGGAAAACCCAGACGCGUAAUGAAAGUGAAGGUUGAGAUCCCUGUCGUGGGGAGCAUCGACGCCCGGACCAGAACUUUUGUGACGGAUCCGCGGUAGAGCGUGUAUGUUGGGACCCGAAAGAUGGUGAACUAUGCCUGAAUAGGGUGAAGCCAGAGGAAACUCUGGUGGAGGCUCGUAGCGAUUCUGACGUGCAAAUCGAUCGUCAAAUUUGGGUAUAGGGGCGAAAGACUAAUCGAACCAUCUAGUAGC
Molecule: ribosomal RNA, 923 nt
Filed under: Gerhardtia sp. HC01/025
Lineage: Eukaryota; Fungi; Basidiomycota; Agaricomycetes; Agaricales; Lyophyllaceae
Description: eukaryotic LSU rRNA
Rfam family: Eukaryotic large subunit ribosomal RNA
Source: RNAcentral